GAAAAUUGUUUUCUUUUGAGUUGUGUAUAUGAAAUGAAUUGUGAGACAGCCUUGCUGCCGUGUGCUCAUCAGCAGUGACGUAAUCAGUAAUUGUUGCACCUGUUCUAGUAAGUGCCACCUGGAAAACAAAAAGAUCAUUGGAUUCAUAUGGUUCUAUUUCUUACCCUUCUGGGUCAAUUUUGAAGCACAGUGAUGAAGCUGUACCAAGAAUGGGAUGAAGUGUCUUGUUCUGCCAUUUGCUUUACUGGACACAGGAUUUGAACCCUGGCUUUAAUAGAGUAUAAUAAGAGAUUCCAAAAGGCAACAAGCAGGGAACGGUCAAACAAUUAAUGAACAGUUAGUGGCAGAAGCAUUGCGGAAAGUGGAAUCAUCAUCCCAGAUGAAUGAAGAACGGAUUUCUGGUCUUACCUAAUCAUUUUGGCUGCAGCAAGAUGAAUUACUGAGGACAUCCAUUAAAAUGAUGAUUGUAAUUCAGCUCUGUAGUUACUGAAGUUUGGGGAACCAGAAGGCAAGAUCGUUACUUUUACUGAGUGCAGCAAGAAGUAACGCAGCUCAAAAAGAAAUAUUGAAUUAUGAACCUCCUUUCCCUUCUGUUUUGGUCUGGCAUAGCGGGGUGCCACUCAAUGUGACCUUACUGAUCCUCUGCCAAGGUCUAGCUUCACUGUGGAGCAGCGCUGGCCAUACUAAAAGAUGGCAUUGA
Molecule: long non-coding RNA, 700 nt
Filed under: Numida meleagris (helmeted guineafowl)
Lineage: Eukaryota; Metazoa; Chordata; Aves; Galliformes; Numididae
Description: lncRNA (ENSNMEG00000009339.1)
Source: RNAcentral